Molecule: unclassified non-coding RNA, 282 nt
Filed under: plant metagenome
Description: partial contains small subunit ribosomal RNA, internal transcribed spacer 1, and 5.8S ribosomal RNA
Rfam family: 5.8S ribosomal RNA (bases 235-282)
Source: RNAcentral
UUUCCGUAGGUGAACCUGCGGAAGGAUCAUUAUUGUAUAACCGAGGUGCGAGGGCUGUCGCUGACCCGAAAGGUCGUGCACGCCCGAGUGCCCUCACACACAUCCAACUCACCCCUAUGUGCACCACCGCGUGGGUCCCCCUUUGGCUUGUUCGGAGGGGGGCUUACGUUUUCACACAAACUUUGUAUGCAGUGUAGAAUGUAUUUUUUGUUUUUGCGAUCACGCAAUCAAUACAACUUUCAACAACGGAUCUCUUGGCUCUCGCACGAUGAAGAACGCAGC